Long non-coding RNA from Triticum urartu, 751 nucleotides. RefSeq lists it as uncharacterized. The record is from RefSeq and is a predicted model, not a curated record. Lineage: Eukaryota; Viridiplantae; Streptophyta; Magnoliopsida; Poales; Poaceae.
ACCUGUCGUGCUCCGGUUCUGGCAGCUGCCGUUCCAGUCAAUCACCUCCAGGAGACCAGGAGCCUUCAGGCAUAUAACGGUUCAACAACUUUCGAGCUUUGACUAUGGUUAUGUAGCACGCUGACAAGACAAGAGAAUAAUGCCUCUUAAGGCAUUUGUCCGAGCUAUGCCGCCUCUCGUCAAACUCGAGCUCGACGCUCCGUCUACAGACAAGCACAAUCCGCACAUGAUCUCCUCCCAGCUUUCGACAUGUUAUUCUUGCAUGCAAGGCUAAGCUAUCUCCACCAGCUCCUUUUCCCUACCCUGGCAAAACCAAAUGCUACCAUCUCGUUUUUUUGCCAUGCUAAAACUUAUGUGAGUUCAUCGUCAUGGAUAGAUUAGCAACUGCCAAGCAAUCUGUCACAAAAACAUGUCAGGCAGCUAGGCAUGCGAGUGACAUGUGUGUCGGUAAGAUUGGAUGUUUGUGUGUAAAUGUAAAUCACGAAAAAUGAUUCUUGGUAUCUAGAGAAGAAACACACACACACACACACACGAGAGAGAGUAAUUCAUAGUGGAUAUAAAAUACCUAUUAAUGUUGUACGUGAGUUGACUCGACAUGCUGCAAGAUCUUCUGAUUUGUUCUCUGAAGGUGGCCUCAGAGUAUAGCGUUGCAUAUUCCUGAAGCAAUUGUGAUGCUCUGUUUUGUUAGGAUUAAGAUGCUUGAACAUGUAAGCAGUACACUAUCGAGCAAUAGAGAUCUUUCUCAUGCUGA